CAGGCGCGAAAACUUUACAAUGCUGGCAACAGCGAUAAGGGGACCUCGAGUGCCACGAUACAAUCGUGGCUGUCUAGUUGCCUAAAAAGCAAUUGAUAGCAAGGGCCGGGCAAGACCGGUGCCAGCCGCCGCGGUAACACCGGCGGCUCGAGUGGUAACCGCUAUUAUUUGGUCUAAAGGGUCUGUAGCCGGCUUAGUCAGUCUUUUGAGAAAUCUGGCCGCUCAACGGUCAGGCGUUCAGGGGAUACUGCUAAAGCUCGAGACCGGGAGAGGUGAGAGGUACUUCAGGGGUAGGGGUGAAAUCUUGUAAUCCUUGAAGGACCACCAGUGGCGAAGGCGUCUCACCAGAACGGAUCUGACGGCAAGGGACGAAAGCUAGGGGCACGAACCGGAUUAGAUACCCGGGUAGUCCUAGCCGUAAACGAUACUCGCUAGGUGUCGGCCACGGUGCGACCGUGGUCGGUGCCGUAGGGAAGCCGUGAAGCGAGCCACCUGGGAAGUACGGCCGCAAGGCUGAAACUUAAGGGAAUUGGCGGGGGAGCACUACACCGGUGGAGCUGCGGUUUAAUUGGAUUUCACGCCGGAAAUCUACCGGGGGCCGACCGCCAUAUGAAGGCCAG
RNAcentral lists this ribosomal RNA (620 nucleotides) under uncultured Methanotrichaceae archaeon. RNAcentral describes it as "bacterial SSU rRNA". It matches the Rfam family "Archaeal small subunit ribosomal RNA", at positions 336 to 957 of the family's 1478-position model. Lineage: Archaea; Methanobacteriati; Methanobacteriota; Methanomicrobia; Methanotrichales; Methanotrichaceae. The record is from RNAcentral.